GCGCCCGUAGCUCAAUGGACAGAGCGUCUGACUUCGAAUCAGCAGGUUGCAGGUUCGAGUCCUGCCGGGCGCGCCA
This 76-nucleotide transfer RNA is filed under the name Anaerolineae bacterium. Its description in RNAcentral is "tRNA-Arg". It matches the Rfam family "tRNA". Rfam says of the family: Transfer RNA (tRNA) molecules are approximately 80 nucleotides in length. Their secondary structure includes four short double-helical elements and three loops (D, anti-codon, and T loops). The record is from RNAcentral. Lineage: Bacteria; Bacillati; Chloroflexota; Anaerolineae.